Molecule: long non-coding RNA, 349 nt
Organism: Eriocheir sinensis (Chinese mitten crab)
Lineage: Eukaryota; Metazoa; Arthropoda; Malacostraca; Decapoda; Varunidae
Exons: 4
Source: RefSeq, a predicted model, not a curated record
UAUGGGCCAGAAACCGUAAAAUACAAUGUAAGGAAUACGACAAUGUGGCAACGCUGUAGAGGUCCAUCCAUCCCUCCCCCACCGUCGCCCUUCCCAUUCCUUCCCACGCUCCAGCUCUUGAGGUCACCUCUGCGGCAGGAUGCGUGCUAAGUGGAGAAAGAAGCGUAUGCGAAGGCUUAAGCGUAAGCGCAGGAAGAUGAGGGCAAGGUCGAAGUAGGCUGUGUGCCCCAUCCUCCCCAACACCCCUUCGGACUGUGUGAGGCUGACCACAGCCCUGGUCUGCCUUCCAGUCAUCUGCUGCUGCCACCACACUCAGUAAUGUGAUUUGAUAAUAAAUUUGAUGAAGGGG